RNAcentral lists this ribosomal RNA (371 nucleotides) under uncultured bacterium. RNAcentral's name for it is "bacterial SSU rRNA". It matches the Rfam family "Bacterial small subunit ribosomal RNA", at positions 527 to 896 of the family's 1533-position model. The record is from RNAcentral.
GUAGGUGGCAAGCGUUGUCCGGAUUUAUUGGGCGUAAAGCGAACGCAGGCGGGAGAACAAGUCAGCUGUGAAAGCCCUCGGCUUAACCGAGGAACGGCAACUGAAACUGUUUUUCUUGAGUGCAGAAGAGGAGAGUGGAACUCCAUGUGUAGCGGUGAAAUGCGUAGAUAUAUGGAAGAACACCAGAGGCGAAGGCGGCUCUCUGGUCUGUAACUGACGCUGAGGUUCGAAAGCAUGGGUAGCGAACAGGAUUAGAUACCCUGGUAGUCCAUGCCGUAAACGAUGAGUGCUAAGUGUUGGGAGGUUUCCGCCUCUCAGUGCUGCAGCUAACGCAUUAAGCACUCCGCCUGGGGAGUACGACCGCAAGGUUA